RNAcentral lists this ribosomal RNA (484 nucleotides) under uncultured bacterium. RNAcentral's name for it is "partial 16S ribosomal RNA". It matches the Rfam family "Bacterial small subunit ribosomal RNA", at positions 29 to 507 of the family's 1533-position model. The record is from RNAcentral.
AUUGAACGCUGGCGGCAUGCUUUACACAUGCAAGUCGAACGGCAGCGCGGGCUUCGGCCUGGCGGCGAGUGGCGAACGGGUGAGUAAUACAUCGGAACGUGCCCAGUAGUGGGGGAUAGCUCGGCGAAAGCCGGAUUAAUACCGCAUACGACCUGAGGGUGAAAGCGGGGGAUCUUCGGACCUCGCGCUAUUGGAGCGGCCGAUGGCAGAUUAGCUAGUUGGUGGGGUAAAGGCCUACCAAGGCGACGAUCUGUAGCUGGUCUGAGAGGACGACCAGCCACACUGGGACUGAGACACGGCCCAGACUCCUACGGGAGGCAGCAGUGGGGAAUUUUGGACAAUGGGCGAAAGCCUGAUCCAGCAAUGCCGCGUGGGUGAUGAAGGCCUUCGGGUUGUAAAGCACUUUUGGCGGGAACGAAAAGGACUGUGCCAAUACCACGGUUCGAUGACGGUACCCGCAGAAUAAGCACCGGCUAACUACGUG